This 253-nucleotide ribosomal RNA is filed under the name uncultured bacterium. RNAcentral's name for it is "partial 16S ribosomal RNA". It matches the Rfam family "Bacterial small subunit ribosomal RNA", at positions 524 to 776 of the family's 1533-position model. The record is from RNAcentral.
UACAGAGGGGGCAAGCGUUGUUCGGAAUUACUGGGCGUAAAGGGCGCGUAGGCGGCCUUCUAAGUCGAACGUGAAAUCCCUGGGCUCAACCCAGGAAUUGCGUCCGAUACUGGGAGGCUUGAAUCCGGGAGAGGGAUGUGGAAUUCCAGGUGUAGCGGUGAAAUGCGUAGAUAUCAGGAGGAACACCGAUAGCGAAGGCAGCUCGCUGGGACGGUACUGACGCUGAGGCGCGAAAGCGUGGGGAGCGAACAGG